RNAcentral lists this ribosomal RNA (705 nucleotides) under uncultured bacterium. Its description in RNAcentral is "SSU rRNA". It matches the Rfam family "Bacterial small subunit ribosomal RNA", at positions 394 to 1085 of the family's 1533-position model. The record is from RNAcentral.
AUCCCGCGUGUGCGAUGAAGGCCUUCGGGUUGUAAAGCACGUUUUGUCAGGGAAGAAAAAGGUUCUGGCUAAUAUCCGGAACUGAUGACGGUACCUGAAGAAUAAGCACCGGCUAACUACGUGCCAGCAGCCGCGGUAAUACGUAGGGUGCAAGCGUUAAUCGGAAUUACUGGGCGUAAAGCGUGCGCAGGCGGUUCGGAAAGAAGGAUGUGAAAUCCCAGGGCUCAACCUUGGAACUGCAUUCUUAACUACCGGACUAGAGUAUGUCAGACGGGGGGGUAGAAUUCCGCGUGUAGCAGUGAAAUGCGUAGAUAUGCGGAGGAAUACCGAUGGCGAAGGCAGACCCCCUGGGAUAAUACUGACGCUCAUGCACGAAAGCGUGGGUAGCAAACAGGAUUAGAUACCCUGGUAGUCCACGCCCUAAACGAUGUCAACUAGCUGUUGGGCCCUUCGGGGCUUAGUAGCGUAGCUAACGCGUGAAGUUGACCGCCUGGGGAGUACGGUCGCAAGAUUAAAACUCAAAGGAAUUGACGGGGACCCGCACAAGCGGUGGAUGAUGUGGAUUAAUUCGAUGCAACGCGAAAAACCUUACCUACCCUUGACAUGUCUGGAAUCCUUUAGAGAUAGAGGAGUGCUCGCAAGAGAACCGGAACACAGGUGCUGCAUGGCUGUCGUCAGCUCGUGUCGUGAGAUGUUGGGUUAAGU